Molecule: small RNA, 295 nt
Filed under: Arabidopsis thaliana (thale cress)
Lineage: Eukaryota; Viridiplantae; Streptophyta; Magnoliopsida; Brassicales; Brassicaceae
Description: ATSL239420
Source: RNAcentral
AAAUGAAAAUAAAUAAAAUGUAUUUUUCUUCUAAAGAAUAUAUUUUUUGGGUAUAAAUUGGGUUAAAAUAGAGUCAAAAUCGGAUUAGUUUUGGUCAAACCGGAUGUAUAAUUAUCGGUUAACUGGUUGGUUCAAUUGGAGGCGUAGUUUUAAGAACAAAUCCGAAAGUACAUGUAGUUUUAUCGAGAUUAAAAUUGUUUAUGGUAGUUUUUCAAGUGGCUAAAAGUUUCGGGUGGAAUGUUGAGAUUCUAACUAGUAUAGGGCUGAAAAUUUAGGCAACCCAAUUAUAUUUACU